Symphalangus syndactylus (siamang) is the source of this 709-nucleotide long non-coding RNA. RefSeq lists it as uncharacterized. NCBI's taxonomy places the organism in Eukaryota, Metazoa, Chordata, Mammalia, Primates, Hylobatidae. The record is from RefSeq and is a predicted model, not a curated record.
CAAAGUGUAUUAUAACCUGGAGGACUGUGCCACAACCCUGUGAGAUGUUGUCGCCUCGCUUUGCCUUAUCUGAAUCUCAACAGGCUUUUCCACGAUACUAUCAGAUCAGCUGCUCUUGCAUGUGUGGUACAUGGAACACUAUGCUAUGUUAGCCGAGCACCAUGAGUCCCUGCAGAGAAGGUCAUUCUGAUUGCCCCUCUACCUUGCUGUCUGUUGUGAGUUGGGGUUUCACCAUGUUGACCACGCUCGUCUCAGACUCCUGGCCUCAAGUAGUUCGCCCUCCUCAGAUAUCCCUUUUAGUUCCUAAAAGUUGUUCUUUAGAUCCAGACACUUAAUUACAGGUUCAACUGUGUUUUUUUAAGGCAAGAACGCUCCAUAGGUGCUACUCUAUACUUACUAUGGCACAACACCAUAAUGCUCAUGUCAGGCCUCUGAGCCCAAGCUAAGCCAUCAUAUCCCCUGUGACCUGUAUGUACACAUCCAGAUGGCUGGUUCCUGCCUUAACUGAUGACAUUCCACCACAAAAGAAGUGAAAAUGGCCUGUUCCUGCCUUAACUGAUGACAUUGCCUUGUGAAAUUCCUUCUCCUGGCUCAUCCUUGCUCAAAAGCUCCCCUACUGAGCACACUGUGACCCCCACUCCUGCCCGCCAGAGAACAACCCCCCUUUGACUGUAAUUUUCCUAUACCUACCCAAAUCCUAUAAAACAGC